This 97-nucleotide transfer RNA is filed under the name Streptomyces lavendulae subsp. grasserius. RNAcentral's name for it is "tRNA-Ser". The record is from RNAcentral. Lineage: Bacteria; Bacillati; Actinomycetota; Actinomycetes; Kitasatosporales; Streptomycetaceae. RNAcentral also lists the same sequence under 1 other name.
GUGGGCAUGGACGGCGGCGGGCACGGUGAUCGCCUGCUACGCGGCCCUGUCCCGUCGGCUGUCGACGACGGUGGUGUCCGGACCCCUGGUGUUCAUG